This 254-nucleotide ribosomal RNA is filed under the name uncultured bacterium. RNAcentral describes it as "partial 16S ribosomal RNA". It matches the Rfam family "Bacterial small subunit ribosomal RNA", at positions 524 to 776 of the family's 1533-position model. The record is from RNAcentral.
UACGUAGGGUGCGAGCGUUGCCCGGAUUUAUUGGGCGUAAAGGGCGCGUAGGCGGUCACGCACGUCCGUUGUGAAAUCGCUCGGCUCAACUGGGCGGGGUCAGCGGAUACGGCGUGGCUGGAGCAAGCUAGGGGGCAAUGGGAAUUCCCGGUGUAGUGGUGGAAUGCGUAGAGAUUAGGAAGAACACCGGUGGCGAAGGCGGGUCUCUGGGCCGAUACUGACGCUGAGGAGCGAAAGCGUGGGGAGCGAACAGG